Oncorhynchus nerka (sockeye salmon) is the source of this 963-nucleotide long non-coding RNA. RefSeq lists it as uncharacterized. The transcript has 3 exons. The record is from RefSeq and is a predicted model, not a curated record. Lineage: Eukaryota; Metazoa; Chordata; Actinopteri; Salmoniformes; Salmonidae.
GCUAGUUUGCUACCUCAUUACAAUUUAGGUUGUAGCAUAUACAAAAUUAUUGUGUGUUUAAAUAAAGUUCCUGUGUGUUAUAAAAGUAGUAGAGUAAUUUUGGUUGUGAAGUGCAUUAUCAACAAUUUGCUAUUUAUUACUUGGCUAUCUACUGUAUCACCAUGUCACAGGCUCUCUCAGUCAACACCACCUCAUAAGAUGAGGAAGUACAUUGUUUAUGAGCAUUGUGUGCUGCAAUUGUUCAAGAGAUGACCAGUUUGCAGCCGGACAUGCAACAGAGAAGACCAGCAAGGGGACCCUCCGCAUCAUGCAGACUUUGCCCUCACUGUGAGAAUUCCAAUAAAUGGAACAAGUAGGACACUUGAAUCAGUAUCACUGAUGAGGGGCCAUGAGCUGAUCUACGCUGCCAAACCCAUCAAUGGGGCGCUGGCAAAGACCUUGCCGCCAGCCUCACCUCUUGUCUGCUCACCAACGGUCAUUGAUGGGGAGACCAGAAUUAGAAACAUGUAAAGCCAGCACAUGGAGACUUGCAAGAUGUGGUGAAGUCCAGACUGAUAGACGGGCGUGAUACUGAUAUCUCUAAAUGAAAGACCUGGCACUCCGGCAUUAAAAUGUACUAGAUACAACUUUUACUUGUAUUGUCUUUUUUAUUAUUGAAUUGAAAGGUAUCGGUCAAUAUGGGAAGGGAGAAAUCCUGUGUAUUCUGCACCAGGAUCAGGCAACUCCUGAUGUAUACGGGACACCACUCUGAUAUGUUUGCAAGGGUAGCCCCAUUACCACCAGACAAAAUGCAGAUAUGCACAGUAUCUGUACCGGCUGGGAACAGUGCACAUUCUUAUAUUAGAUCACUGCUUCUAUGGGAUUAUGUAAAGGGUUGUUAAUUCUACAUGGACUUGUUACUACAUUUGAAAGAUAUAAAACUAAAUGUUCAAAUAGGCACAUUCUGUUCUACCCUGCAAGUCU